Small nucleolar RNA from Gorilla gorilla gorilla (western lowland gorilla), 81 nucleotides. It matches the Rfam family "Small nucleolar RNA U13". Lineage: Eukaryota; Metazoa; Chordata; Mammalia; Primates; Hominidae. The record is from Rfam.
AUCCUGUUGUAGCUCAUAAGCAUGAUGAUUGAGGUUUCACACACAUUAAUGAAAUAUGCCUCCCUUAAACUGAUAUGGACA